Spodoptera litura is the source of this 216-nucleotide non-coding RNA. The record is from RefSeq and is a predicted model, not a curated record. NCBI's taxonomy places the organism in Eukaryota, Metazoa, Arthropoda, Insecta, Lepidoptera, Noctuidae.
UAUUUUAUUAGAUGAAAAUAUUAUUUUUGUUUCGUUUUUUGUAGAUUGAACUGAUGGUUAAUAGUUGAUUGUGAUAUAUAAAUUACUGUCUUUCUGUAACUUCUUUCUAUCCCGGGACUGUCCCGGGAUCCCGGGAUUGACUUUAGAUAAUCCCGAAAUCCCGGGACUGGAAAAAUGAGCCGGGAUUGAAUCCUCUACUAGUGAUAUUAUAGGUGU